GAUGAACGCUGGCGGCGUGCCUAAUACAUGCAAGUCGAGCGAACGGACGAGAAGCUUGCUUCUCUGAUGUUAGCGGCGGACGGGUGAGUAACACGUGGAUAACCUGCCUAUAAGACUGGGAUAACUUCGGGAAACCGGAGCUAAUACCGGAUAAUAUUUUGAACCGCAUGGUUCAAAAGUGAAAGACGGUCUUGCUGUCACUUAUAGAUGGAUCCGCGCUGCAUUAGCUAGUUGGUAAGGUAACGGCUUACCAAGGCAACGAUGCAUAGCCGACCUGAGAGGGUGAUCGGCCACACUGGAGCUGAGACACGGUCCAGGCACCUACGGAAGGCAGCAGUAGGGAAUCUUCCGCAAUGGGCGAAAGCCUGACGGAGCAACGCCGCGUGAGUGAUGAAGGUCUUCGGAUCGUAAAACUCUGUUAUUAGGGAAGAACAUAUGUGUAAGUAACUGUGCACAUCUUGACGGAACCGAAUCAGAAGGCCACGGCAAACUACGU
RNAcentral lists this ribosomal RNA (496 nucleotides) under uncultured bacterium. RNAcentral's name for it is "partial 16S ribosomal RNA". It matches the Rfam family "Bacterial small subunit ribosomal RNA", at positions 28 to 506 of the family's 1533-position model. The record is from RNAcentral.